AGUCACAACGGUAGUAUGUAUAAAUACUAAACAAUUGUAGGUAAAUAGCGUCAAGUAGGCCUACGCCCAUCUCAUAUACUGUUCACAUACUGUAGCUAUGCAGUAGCAAAUCAACCCCAAAAAGCUUGGCAUUUUAUGCAGCAUAGACGGAGCAUAACCACGAAAGUCGAUGGCGUCAUCGAGCUAAGAGUUGUGGAGGUCGCUAAAAUGCUGCUCUACUAAGUAUGCUCCGACGCCCAAGACGACUGGAUGUUUGUGGGGUAGGUAUGACUCAUCGCUCGAAUAUUAAAUCUCAACGAGCGUAAUGUAUUUUCCGCAGUCUCUUGGCGAGUCGACAAAUGCGCCAUUAUGACCACUUUUACGUGCUGAUAGUAGUGGCACAUGCAUACUCGCAAGUCUACAUAAUAUGUAGUCCUUGCUCGGAUUUACUGUCUGCGUGCAUAUCGUAGUUGUCAGCGCCGGUCUCCAGUCAUACUGGCGGCGGCACGCGACUCUUUGCACAGAUGCCGACACGUGCAGCUGGUGAUAAAAACCAUUACAUAUGAGUACAUAUCUUAAAAGGGGUGAGGAUGCAGAUACAUAUUCAAGGGAUGGAGUUGCCCAAAGGCAGCGAGGUGGUGCGUUGCAGUUUUGGCAGCUUGUGGCCGCAAGCCAACACAACCAAAGACAAUCAACCCUUGGCAUCGAUUUUGUGUUUCAUAAAACCACAACAAUUCUUCAUAAAUAGAUUGAAGUGUUAAUCUAGCCAAAUUGGCAUUGAAGUACUAAAUUAAUGCACCGUCGGU
This is a long non-coding RNA of Rhagoletis pomonella (apple maggot), 785 nucleotides long. RefSeq lists it as uncharacterized. The record is from RefSeq and is a predicted model, not a curated record. The transcript is spliced from 2 exons. Lineage: Eukaryota; Metazoa; Arthropoda; Insecta; Diptera; Tephritidae.